RNAcentral lists this transfer RNA (85 nucleotides) under Aspergillus ibericus CBS 121593. It matches the Rfam family "tRNA". Rfam says of the family: Transfer RNA (tRNA) molecules are approximately 80 nucleotides in length. The record is from Rfam by way of RNAcentral. Lineage: Eukaryota; Fungi; Ascomycota; Eurotiomycetes; Eurotiales; Aspergillaceae.
GCCCGGUUAGCUCAAUUGGUCAGAGCGUCAGACUUUUAUCCGAAAGUCCAUCUGAAUGUUGCGAGUUCGAGUCUCGCAUCGGGCG